UCAGAUUGAACGCUGGCGGCAGGCUUAACACAUGCAAGUCGAGCGGUAGCACAGGGGAGCUUGCUCCCUGGGUGACGAGCGGCGGACGGGUGAGUAAUGUCUGGGAAACUGCCUGAUGGAGGGGGAUAACUACUGGAAACGGUAGCUAAUACCGCAUAACGUCGCAAGACCAAAGAGGGGGACCUUCGGGCCUCUUGCCAUCAGAUGUGCCCAGAUGGGAUUAGCUAGUAGGUGGGGUAAUGGCUCACCUAGGCGACGAUCCCUAGCUGGUCUGAGAGGAUGACCAGCCACACUGGAACUGAGACACGGUCCAGACUCCUACGGGAGGCAGCAGUGGGGAAUAUUGCACAAUGGGCGCAAGCCUGAUGCAGCCAUGCCGCGUGUGUGAAGAAGGCCUUCGGGUUGUAAAGCACUUUCAGCGAGGAGGAAGGUGGUGAGCUUAAUACGCUCAUCAAUUGACGUUACUCGCAGAAGAAGCACCGGCUAACUCCGUGCCAGCAGCCGCGGUAAUACGGAGGGUGCAAGCGUUAAUCGGAAUUACUGGGCGUAAAGCGCACGCAGGCGGUUUGUUAAGUCAGAUGUGAAAUCCCCGGGCUCAACCUGGGAACUGCAUUUGAAACUGGCAAGCUAGAGUCUCGUAGAGGGGGGUAGGAUUCCAGGUGUAGCGGUGAAAUGCGUAGAGAUCUGGAGGAAUACCGGUGGCGAAGGCGGCCCCCUGGACGAAGACUGACGCUCAGGUGCGAAAGCGUGGGGAGCAAACAG
Molecule: ribosomal RNA, 762 nt
Filed under: uncultured Enterobacterales bacterium
Lineage: Bacteria; Pseudomonadati; Pseudomonadota; Gammaproteobacteria; Enterobacterales
Description: bacterial SSU rRNA
Rfam family: Bacterial small subunit ribosomal RNA
Source: RNAcentral